Molecule: transfer RNA, 76 nt
Filed under: Alligator mississippiensis (American alligator)
Lineage: Eukaryota; Metazoa; Chordata; Crocodylia; Alligatoridae
Rfam family: tRNA
About the family: Transfer RNA (tRNA) molecules are approximately 80 nucleotides in length. Their secondary structure includes four short double-helical elements and three loops (D, anti-codon, and T loops).
Source: Rfam by way of RNAcentral
GCCUGGGUAGCUACCCAGUUGGUUGAGCAUCAGACUUUUAAUCUGAGGGUCCAGGGUUUAAGUCCCUAGUUAGGUA